Sciurus carolinensis (gray squirrel) is the source of this 1077-nucleotide long non-coding RNA. RefSeq lists it as uncharacterized. The transcript has 4 exons. The record is from RefSeq and is a predicted model, not a curated record. Lineage: Eukaryota; Metazoa; Chordata; Mammalia; Rodentia; Sciuridae.
UCCUUCUCCCUGCUCCCUGGCUGCCUUCCUGGGCCGCGGAAGCCAUUUCCCUGCUGGAAGAGCUGCUGUGUGCCCACUCGGUUCCCAGACUGCCGUCUCCUUCCGUGCCCAACAGAAAACGUGCCUUUUGACGACGGCGUUUUGCAAUGCUUGUUACCCAUUUGUGAGAUGCUCCUCCAGAAUUGCCACUCACGCGUCCAUUUCACAGAUGGGUCACCCAGGCUGCUGCCGCCAGGGAAGUGGUAGCGGAAAAGCCGGAGUUGCAGCAAGGCAGGCAUCCCAGGGAGGGCGUCCUCCUGGCACAGGCCGGAGGAGGGCGAGCCCUGUGCCACCGAGGAGCGCCCCGGGAGAUUGCAGCAGCUAAUCGGGGGAUGGAGAACCCAGCCUUCGCUCUCCUCCAGCCUUCGCUCUCCUGGCCGGCUCGUCCUGUGAUCUGGGAGACGCUCCGAGUCCACGGAGCAAGAGGCACCGUCACGUCUGCUGGGAAGCUCUGUGGUGCUGAGGCCCUGCUGUAUUUUGAGCCAGAAUGGGGAUUGGGACCCACGCCUGCCAGCUCUCUCUGGUGCCUCUUGUGUGCAGAGACCACAGAUGUCAAAAGGACACACAGAUACAGCGUUCCAUCCGAUCUGUGGCCCUCAGCGAGGCAUAGUGAAGUGCUGGCUUGUCACGCAGCCCUGAGCUAAAGAAGGACUGGGACGAUUCCUAGGUGCGUUAGGCCGAAUCUGAAACCCUGGUGGUAACCUCGACUAAGUUUGACCUCCAACAGGUGGGUGUCUGCAAGCCAAGGGGCAACUGCUGGAGGUUGGUCCAGGUGCUCUGUGGCCCUGGGAAGAGUCUAAGAUGUGGUCCAGGCUGGGACGAGGUCAUGACUUUGAGUGCCACCCUCUCGUUGCCGUGGUAACGAGCUGCUUCCUGGGUACUUCCACAUCCCUUGGGGUAGGACAGGUCAUGUGAUGUACUUUGGCAAUGAAAUGGGAGAAGGUGAUUCCUGCCCCUUCCUGAAGGAAGCCUUGAGUUUCCUGGGUGGGCUCCACCAGCACCGUGGGAGCAAGGACAGGUCACUCCGAAGUCACCCAC